GGGGGACGAUGUCGAAUGCACAUCCCUUUCUUUUCCAUCUUCGAUAAAUAUAUCUUUCUUUCUUUCUCCUUUUUUUUUUUUUUUUUUAGAACAGAAAAAAAAAAACGCUAAAAU
RNAcentral lists this non-coding RNA (114 nucleotides) under Lotharella oceanica. Lineage: Eukaryota; Cercozoa; Chlorarachniophyceae. The record is from RNAcentral.